This 182-nucleotide non-coding RNA is filed under the name Albugo candida. RNAcentral describes it as "Eukaryotic large subunit ribosomal RNA". It matches the Rfam family "Eukaryotic large subunit ribosomal RNA", at positions 1 to 178 of the family's 3401-position model. Lineage: Eukaryota; Oomycota; Peronosporomycetes; Albuginales; Albuginaceae. The record is from Rfam by way of RNAcentral.
GGACCUGAUAUCAGGCAAGACAACCCGCUGAAUUUAAGCAUAUAACUAAGCGGAGGAAAAGAAACUAACAAGGAUUCCCCUAGUAACGGCGAGUGAAGCGGGAAGAGCUCAAGCUUGAAAUCUCCGCACAAGUUUUGUGUGGCGAAUUGUAGUCUAUAGAAGCGAUGUCAGCAUAGCUGCUC